GAUGAACGCUGGCGGCGUGCCUAAUACAUGCAAGUCGAGCGAACAGAUGAGGAGCUUGCUCCUCUGACGUUAGCGGCGGACGGGUGAGUAACACGUGGAUAACCUACCUAUAAGACUGGGAUAACUUCGGGAAACCGGAGCUAAUACCGGAUAAUAUAUUGAACCGCAUGGUUCAAUAGUGGAAGACGGUUUUGCUGUCACUUAUAGAUGGAUCCGCGCCGCAUUAGCUAGUUGGUAAGGUAACGGCUUACCAAGGCAACGAUGCGUAGCCGACCUGAGAGGGUGAUCGGCCACACUGGAACUGAGACACGGUCCAGACUCCUACGGGAGGCAGCAGUAGGGAAUCUUACGCAAUGGGCGAGAGCCUGACGGAGCAAAGCCGCGUGAGUGAUGAAGGUCUUCGGAUCGUAAAACGCUGUUAUUAGGGAAGAACAAAUGUGUAAGUAACUAUGCACGUCUUGACGGUACCUAAUCAGAAAGCCACGGCUAACUACGUG
Molecule: ribosomal RNA, 497 nt
Filed under: uncultured bacterium
Lineage: Bacteria
Description: partial 16S ribosomal RNA
Rfam family: Bacterial small subunit ribosomal RNA
Source: RNAcentral